GUCAUUUAAGCAGCUCAUAUACUAAAACUGGAAUGAUACAGAGAAGACUGGCAUGGCCCCUGCACAAGGAUGACACACAAAUCUGUGAAGUAUUCCAUUAAAAA
Callithrix jacchus (white-tufted-ear marmoset) is the source of this 104-nucleotide small nuclear RNA. The record is from Ensembl. NCBI's taxonomy places the organism in Eukaryota, Metazoa, Chordata, Mammalia, Primates, Cebidae.